CACGGGGGGAGCAAGCGUUGUUCGGAAUCACUGGGCGUAAAGGGCGUGUAGGCGGUCGAGUAAGUGGAAUGUGAAAUACUCCGGCUCACCCGGAGCACUGCAUCCCAAACUGCUCGGCUUGAGUAUGGGAGAGGACGAGGGAAUUCCUGGUGUAGCGGUGAAAUGCGUAGAUAUCAGGAGGAACACCGGUGGCGAAAGCGCUCGUCUGGCCCAAUACUGACGCUGAUGCGCGAAAGCUAGGGGAGCAAACGGGAUUAGAUACCCCGGUAGUCCUAGCCGUAAACGGUGAGCACUAGGUGUUGGAGGCAUCGACCCCUCCAGUGCCGUAGCUAACGCACUAAGUGCUCCGCCUGGGGAGUACGGCCGCAAGGUUGAA
RNAcentral lists this ribosomal RNA (376 nucleotides) under uncultured bacterium. RNAcentral's name for it is "bacterial SSU rRNA". It matches the Rfam family "Bacterial small subunit ribosomal RNA", at positions 524 to 898 of the family's 1533-position model. The record is from RNAcentral.